AGAUGGUCGAUAGUCUUUCGCCCCAUGCGCAGAUUUGACGAUCGAUUUGCACGUCAGAACCGCUGCGAGCCUCCACCAGAGUUUCCUCUGGCUUCACCCUAUCCACGCAUAGUUCACCAUCUUUCGGGUCCGAACAGUUAUGCUCUUACUCAAAUCCAUCCGAAGACAUCAGGAUCGGUCGAUGAUGCACCCGUAAGGGCUCUCACCUCCGUUCACUUUCAUUACGCUUGAGGGUUUAACACCCAAAAACUCGCAUAAAUGUUCGACUCCUUGGUCCGUGUUUCAAGACGGGUGGCUGAUGACCAUUAUGCCAGCAUCCUAGCCGAAGCGCGGUCCUCAGUCCCAGCGGCGGUAUUACACAGCAGGCUAUAACACUCCCGGGGGAGUCACGUUCCUGAAGUCUUUAUCCCGCCGCCGAAACUGAUGCUGGCCUCAACCAAGCGGAGUGCACCGGUGAGAACACCGGAUGAUCCGCAAGGCAAAGGUCUGGUCACAAGCCCUUCCCUUUCAACAAUUUCACGUACUAUUUAACCCUCUUUUCAAAGUGCUUUUCAUCUUUCGAUCACUCUACUUGUGCGCUAUCGGUCUCUGGCCGGUAUUUAGCUUUAGAAGAAAUUUACCUCCCAUUUAGAGCAGCAUUCCCAAACUACUCGACUCGUCGAAGGAGAUUUACAGAGGCUCGGCAUCCAACCGUACGGGGCUCUCACCCUCUAAGGCGUCCUGUUCCAAGGAACUCGGAAGGUACCUAACCAAAAUCAUCCUCUACAAAUUACAACUCGGACCCGAGGGCCAGAUUUCAAAUUUGAGCUGUUGCCGCUUCACUCGCCGUUACUAGGGCAU
RNAcentral lists this ribosomal RNA (840 nucleotides) under Microdochium seminicola. Its description in RNAcentral is "partial 28S ribosomal RNA". The record is from RNAcentral. Lineage: Eukaryota; Fungi; Ascomycota; Sordariomycetes; Xylariales; Microdochiaceae.